This 1346-nucleotide ribosomal RNA is filed under the name Vibrio sp. RW23. Its description in RNAcentral is "bacterial SSU rRNA". It matches the Rfam family "Bacterial small subunit ribosomal RNA", at positions 25 to 1350 of the family's 1533-position model. Lineage: Bacteria; Pseudomonadati; Pseudomonadota; Gammaproteobacteria; Vibrionales; Vibrionaceae. The record is from RNAcentral.
CAGAUUGAACGCUGGCGGCAGGCCUAACACAUGCAAGUCGAGCGGAAACGAGUUAUCUGAACCUUCGGGGAACGAUAACGGCGUCGAGCGGCGGACGGGUGAGUAAUGCCUAGGAAAUUGCCCUGAUGUGGGGGAUAACCAUUGGAAACGAUGGCUAAUACCGCAUAAUGCCUACGGGCCAAAGAGGGGGACCUUCGGGCCUCUCGCGUCAGGAUAUGCCUAGGUGGGAUUAGCUAGUUGGUGAGGUAAUGGCUCACCAAGGCGACGAUCCCUAGCUGGUCUGAGAGGAUGAUCAGCCACACUGGAACUGAGACACGGUCCAGACUCCUACGGGAGGCAGCAGUGGGGAAUAUUGCACAAUGGGCGCAAGCCUGAUGCAGCCAUGCCGCGUGUGUGAAGAAGGCCUUCGGGUUGUAAAGCACUUUCAGUCGUGAGGAAGGUGGUGUAGUUAAUAGCUGCAUUAUUUGACGUUAGCGACAGAAGAAGCACCGGCUAACUCCGUGCCAGCAGCCGCGGUAAUACGGAGGGUGCGAGCGUUAAUCGGAAUUACUGGGCGUAAAGCGCAUGCAGGUGGUUUGUUAAGUCAGAUGUGAAAGCCCGGGGCUCAACCUCGGAAUAGCAUUUGAAACUGGCAGACUAGAGUACUGUAGAGGGGGGUAGAAUUUCAGGUGUAGCGGUGAAAUGCGUAGAGAUCUGAAGGAAUACCGGUGGCGAAGGCGGCCCCCUGGACAGAUACUGACACUCAGAUGCGAAAGCGUGGGGAGCAAACAGGAUUAGAUACCCUGGUAGUCCACGCCGUAAACGAUGUCUACUUGGAGGUUGUGGCCUUGAGCCGUGGCUUUCGGAGCUAACGCGUUAAGUAGACCGCCUGGGGAGUACGGUCGCAAGAUUAAAACUCAAAUGAAUUGACGGGGGCCCGCACAAGCGGUGGAGCAUGUGGUUUAAUUCGAUGCAACGCGAAGAACCUUACCUACUCUUGACAUCCAGAGAACUUUCCAGAGAUGGAUUGGUGCCUUCGGGAACUCUGAGACAGGUGCUGCAUGGCUGUCGUCAGCUCGUGUUGUGAAAUGUUGGGUUAAGUCCCGCAACGAGCGCAACCCUUAUCCUUGUUUGCCAGCGAGUAAUGUCGGGAACUCCAGGGAGACUGCCGGUGAUAAACCGGAGGAAGGUGGGGACGACGUCAAGUCAUCAUGGCCCUUACGAGUAGGGCUACACACGUGCUACAAUGGCGCAUACAGAGGGCAGCAAGCUAGCGAUAGUGAGCGAAUCCCAAAAAGUGCGUCGUAGUCCGGAUUGGAGUCUGCAACUCGACUCCAUGAAGUCGGAAUCGCUAGUAAUCGUGGAUC